Molecule: ribosomal RNA, 377 nt
Filed under: uncultured bacterium
Lineage: Bacteria
Description: bacterial SSU rRNA
Rfam family: Bacterial small subunit ribosomal RNA
Source: RNAcentral
UACGUAGGGUGCGAGCGUUGUCCGGAAUUAUUGGGCGUAAAGGGCUCGUAGGCGGUUUGUCGCGUCGGGAGUGAAAACACACAGCUUAACUGUGUGCCUGCUUCCGAUACGGGCAGACUAGAGGUAUGCAGGGGAGAACGGAAUUCCUGGUGUAGCGGUGAAAUGCGCAGAUAUCAGGAGGAACACCGGUGGCGAAGGCGGUUCUCUGGGCAUUACCUGACGCUGAGGAGCGAAAGUGUGGGGAGCGAACAGGAUUAGAUACCCUGGUAGUCCACACCGUAAACGUUGGGCGCUAGGUGUGGGGCCUAUUCCAUGGGUUCCGUGCCGCAGCUAACGCAUUAAGCGCCCCGCCUGGGGAGUACGGCCGCAAGGCUAAA